RNAcentral lists this ribosomal RNA (225 nucleotides) under uncultured bacterium. RNAcentral describes it as "partial 16S ribosomal RNA". It matches the Rfam family "Bacterial small subunit ribosomal RNA", at positions 28 to 254 of the family's 1533-position model. The record is from RNAcentral.
GACGAACGCUGGCGGCGUGCUUAACACAUGCAAGUCGAGCGGUAAGGCCCGUUCGGGGGUACACGAGCGGCGAACGGGUGAGUAACACGUGGGUGACCUGCCCUCAGCUCUGGGAUAAGCCUGGGAAACCGGGUCUAAUACUGGAUAUGACUCCAUGACGCAUGUUGUGGGGUGGAAAGCCUUGUGCGGCUGAGGAUGGGCCCGCGGCCUAUCAGCUUGUUGGGG